Molecule: RNase P RNA, 269 nt
Filed under: Candidatus Daviesbacteria bacterium RIFCSPHIGHO2_02_FULL_36_13
Lineage: Bacteria; Candidatus Daviesiibacteriota
Also listed under: 1 other name
Description: RNase P RNA component class A
Rfam family: Bacterial RNase P class A
About the family: Ribonuclease P (RNase P) is a ubiquitous endoribonuclease, found in archaea, bacteria and eukarya as well as chloroplasts and mitochondria. Its best characterised activity is the generation of mature 5'-ends of tRNAs by cleaving the 5'-leader elements of precursor-tRNAs. Cellular RNase Ps are ribonucleoproteins.
Source: RNAcentral
UUAGGAAGAAGGAUGAUUAGUAUGUUCAAUUAAAUGAAUGUACAGGAAAGUCCAGACAGCAUAGAGUGGGGUGGGGUUGAGUGAUCAACCCAGUCGUAAGACCUAGUUAGAGCAACAGUGACGAACCGAGAUAAUGCUCGGGUGAAACGGGCAAUCCUCCCCGCUGCAAUCCUAGAACCGACAGAGUUACUCGCUCAUUUGUCGAAAUAAGGAGCGUUAGAUAAAUUAUCAUCGAGAAACAGAAUCUGGCUUACUAUCUUCCUAAGCGC